UUCGGCGAUUAACUGUUAACCUUUAGAUAAUGUAUUUAUGCUUCGGAUUAAGGUACAACGUUCUUACUAGAAUGGCUCCUUAUUCAAAAGUUUCAAAUGCAAAAUAUAAUUUGCGCAAAGCGCAUGGAGGUUUCAUUCUAAUGGAACAAGGUACUGUUAAAUGGUUCAACGCUGACAAGGGUUACGGUUUUAUCACUUUGGAAAACGGCUCAGACGUUUUCGUUCACUUCUCAGCUAUCCAAGCUGACGGCUUCAAGACUCUUGAAGAAGGCCAACACGUAACCUUAGACGUUGAAGAAGGCGACCGCGGCCCACAAGCUGCUAACGUCACUGUUGCUUAAUUUUUAAUUAAGUACAGGAAAACACCAACCAUUUGGUUGGUGUUUUUUU
RNAcentral lists this small RNA (390 nucleotides) under Secundilactobacillus collinoides DSM 20515 = JCM 1123. RNAcentral describes it as "Lactobacillus collinoides DSM 20515 = JCM 1123 cspA thermoregulator". It matches the Rfam family "cspA thermoregulator", at positions 77 to 428 of the family's 428-position model. The record is from Rfam by way of RNAcentral. Lineage: Bacteria; Bacillati; Bacillota; Bacilli; Lactobacillales; Lactobacillaceae.